UACGUAGGGGGCAAGCGUUGUCCGGAUUUAUUGGGCGUAAAGCGCUCGCAGGCGGCUCGAUGCGUCGUGCGUGAAACACCCCGGCUCAACUGGGGAGGGUCGUGCGAUACGGUCGGGCUUGAGGCCAGUAGGGGAUGCGGAAUUCCGGGUGUAGUGGUGGAAUGCGUAGAGAUCGGAAAGAACACCAAUGGCGAAAGCACUCUGCUGGGCCGACACUGACACUGAGAGACGAAAGCUAGGGGAGCGAAUGGG
Molecule: ribosomal RNA, 252 nt
Filed under: uncultured bacterium
Lineage: Bacteria
Description: partial 16S ribosomal RNA
Rfam family: Bacterial small subunit ribosomal RNA
Source: RNAcentral